Molecule: ribosomal RNA, 274 nt
Filed under: uncultured bacterium
Lineage: Bacteria
Description: partial 16S ribosomal RNA
Rfam family: Bacterial small subunit ribosomal RNA
Source: RNAcentral
UACGGAGGGUGCAAGCGUUAAUCGGAAUUACUGGGCGUAAAGGGCGCGUAGGUGGCUUGGUAAGCGUGUGGUGAAAUCCCCGGGCGUCAACCUGGGAACGUGCAUUCAAAACUAGACAAGCUAGAGUAUGGUAGAGGGUGGUGGAAUUUCCUGUGUAGCGGUGAAAUGCGUAGAUAUAGGAAGGAACACCAGUGGCGAAGGCGACCACCUGGACUGAUACUGACACUGAGGUGCGAAAGCGUGGGGAGCAAACAGGAUUAGAUACCCGUGUAGU